RNAcentral lists this ribosomal RNA (1625 nucleotides) under Phrynomantis microps. RNAcentral describes it as "16S ribosomal RNA". It matches the Rfam family "Bacterial large subunit ribosomal RNA". Lineage: Eukaryota; Metazoa; Chordata; Amphibia; Anura; Microhylidae. The record is from RNAcentral.
CUUACACCGAGAAAAUGUUUGUUUAACCCAAACCAUUUUGAGCCAAAAACCUAGCCCUCUCUCUUACAUAUGCCCCCCCCCCACCCGAACAACCUUAAACAAAACAUUUUCACCUCUAAGUAAAGGCGAUUAAAAAGUGAUUUAGGAGCUUUAAAAACAGUACCGCAAGGGAAAGAUGAAAUAAUAAUGAAAAUCCUCAAGCACAACAAAGCAGAGAUUUACCCUCGUACCUUUUGCAUCAUGGUCUAGCUAGUUCAACCAAGCAAAAAGAACUUUAAGUUUGACACCCCGAAACUAGACGAGCUACUUCGAAACAGCCUACAGGGCCAACCCGUCUCUGUUGCAAAAGAGUGGGAAGAUUUCCAAGUAGAGGUGACAGACCUACCGAGUCUAGAGAUAGCUGGUUAUUCAGGAAAAGGAUUUUAGUCCUACCUUAAAAUCCCUAAUAACAACUAAUAUUUCAAUGAUUUUAAGAGCCAUUCAAAUAAGGUACAGCCUAUUUGACACAGGAUACAACCUCCGGCAAAGGGUAAUGAAUAUAAUCCCAUGACCAAGUGGGCCUAAAAGCAGCCAUCUUUUAAAAAGCGUUAAAGCUUUGUCAUCCACAAAAACAAUCCCAAAACCACCUCAAAACCCCCCAUUACUACUGAAUGACCCCAUAACCAUAUGGGGGACCUCAUGCUAGAACUAGUAACAAGAAUUAGACCUUCUCUAAAAUGCACGUGUACGCCAAAAUGAACCACUCACCGGCAAUUACCGCUAAUGAAUACAUAGUAAUAACCCAGCAAGAAAACCUUACUUAAAAAAGCGUUAACCUAACACAAGAGCAUUUCCAGAAAGAUUAAAAGAGCGGGAAGGAACUCGGCAAAUAUUAGCCUCGCCUGUUUACCAAAAACAUCGCCUCCUGACCUAUCAUAGGAGGUCCAGCCUGCCCAGUGACAUAGUUAAACGGCCGCGGUACCCUAACCGUGCGAAGGUAGCGCAAUCACUUGUUCUUUAAAUGAGGACUAGUAUGAAUGGCAUCACGAAGGCUACACUGUCUCCCCCCUCCAAUCAGUGAAACUGAUCUCCCCGUGAAGAAGCGGGGAUAAAACCAUAAGACGAGAAGACCCCAUGGAGCUUAAAACUCAGUUUCACCUGCACACCAAUAUAUCACACCAACCCUGCAGACCUGACUACUAGUUUUCGGUUGGGGUGACCGCGGAGCAAAACAAAACCUCCACGACGAAAGGACAUCUCCCUAAUCCAAGAGCAACAACUCUAAGAAUCAAAAAAUUGACGUUGCUUGAUCCAAAUUUAUUUGAUCAACGAACCAAGUUACCCUGGGGAUAACAGCGCAAUCCAUUUCAAGAGCUCCUAUCGACAAAUGGGUUUACGACCUCGAUGUUGGAUCAGGGUAUCCCAGUGGUGCAGCCGCUACUAAAGGUUCGUUUGUUCAACGAUUAAAACCCUACGUGAUCUGAGUUCAGACCGGAGUAAUCCAGGUCGGUUUCUAUCUAUGAAGUGUUUCUCCCAGUACGAAAGGACCGGAGCAACAUGGCCCCUGUAAAAACAAGCCAUAGCUGCAAACUAAUGUCAACAACUAAAUUAGCAUACAGCCUACCCCCCACCCCAAGAUAAGAAAU